UAGGGAAUCUUCCGCAAUGGGCGAAAGCCUGACGGAGCAACGCCGCGUGAGUGAUGAAGGUCUUCGGAUCGUAAAACUCUGUUAUUAGGGAAGAACAAAUGUGUAAGUAACUAUGCACGUCUUGACGGUACCUAAUCAGAAAGCCACGGCUAACUACGUGCCAGCAGCCGCGGUAAUACGUAGGUGGCAAGCGUUAUCCGGAAUUAGUGGGCGUAAAGCGCGCGUAGGCGGUUUUUUAAGUCUGAUGUGAAAGCCCACGGCUCAACCGUGGAGGGUCAUUGGAAACUGGAAAACUUGAGUGCAGAAGAGGAAAGUGGAAUUCCAUGUGUAGCGGUGAAAUGCGCAGAGAUAUGGAGGAACACCAGUGGCGAAGGCGACUUUCUGGUCUGUAACUGACGCUGAUGUGCGAAAGCGUGGGGAUCAAACAGG
Molecule: ribosomal RNA, 429 nt
Filed under: Actinomycetes bacterium
Lineage: Bacteria; Bacillati; Actinomycetota; Actinomycetes
Description: Actinobacteria bacterium partial 16S ribosomal RNA
Rfam family: Bacterial small subunit ribosomal RNA
Source: RNAcentral